GUCUCAGUGGGCUGAAGCCGUCCCGUAGAGCCCAGCGGCCCCAUCUCAGCCCUGCAAUUAGAGUUCAUUAUGGGCCGUACAAACGUGGAGCUCGCGCUGAGACGAGCCUCUGCACCUUCAUCACCUUCGUCACAGCGGGACAGCCGUGCUUUGCUUACUCUGUGCUUUUAGUGUGGAUCCGAACUGUGUGAAAAGUGUGAUGCCAGCAUUAUACUGACUGUGAGAGGAACAAAUGUGCUAACAUUUAGAGAUGAUACGUCAGCAGUCCCGUAACGGCUGAGAGGAUCACAGACGCACCAGAGACCUAAUCAAGUCUAAAUCUCAUCUUGGAUGCGGGGAACAGUCUCAGUUUUGUAAAGGGCCGCAGUGAAUCAAACAUUCACUAAGGGCCUCACAGACGGCCGACCGACCCACAGUCGACAGCUGAAGUCACAACCUCCAUCUCUCCAGACUCCCACUGCUGGAUCCAGAAGCCA
Molecule: long non-coding RNA, 476 nt
Organism: Sinocyclocheilus anshuiensis
Lineage: Eukaryota; Metazoa; Chordata; Actinopteri; Cypriniformes; Cyprinidae
Exons: 3
Source: RefSeq, a predicted model, not a curated record